UACCAGCACCCCGAGUGGUCGGGACGGUUAUUGGGCCUAAAGCAUCCGUAGCCGGUUCUACAAGUCUUCCGUUAAAUCCACCUGCUUAACAGAUGGGCUGCGGAAGAUACUAUAGAGCUAGGAGGCGGGAGAGGCAAGCGGUACUCGAUGGGUAGGGGUAAAAUCCGUUGAUCCAUUGAAGACCACCAGUGGCGAAGGCGGCUUGCCAGAACGCGCUCGACGGUGAGGGAUGAAAGCUGGGGGAGCAAACCGG
Molecule: ribosomal RNA, 253 nt
Filed under: uncultured bacterium
Lineage: Bacteria
Description: partial 16S ribosomal RNA
Rfam family: Archaeal small subunit ribosomal RNA
Source: RNAcentral